CACCGCCCGUCACACCAUGGGAGUCAGUUGCUCCAGAAGUCACCGCGCUAACCGCAAGGAGGCAGGUGCCCAAGGAGUGGCUGGUAACUGGGGUG
RNAcentral lists this ribosomal RNA (95 nucleotides) under uncultured bacterium. RNAcentral's name for it is "partial 16S ribosomal RNA". It matches the Rfam family "Bacterial small subunit ribosomal RNA", at positions 1388 to 1482 of the family's 1533-position model. The record is from RNAcentral.